ACAGGACCCACUUGCAGGGAUUAGCGCGGAGCCCCAGGAUAACAAUAUAAUGUUGUGGAAUGCUAUUAUAUUGGGGUUUUUGUCAAUUGUUAUUUACGAAGGUUGUGACUGUUCGUGCUCGCACCAAAAUAAAGUUUGUAGAAGGUUGCUAACCAACGAUAAAAGGUAGCUUGCAAUUUUUAUUUUAAUGAAUCUUAUUAAAUGCAUUUGAGUACCACAAAAAUUUACUCAAUUAUUUAUUAGAAAAAUCACUAUCUUCACUAAAACUGUUAUUCAUUUACAUUAACAACUCUUUUUUUUUUCUUUCCAAUUUGUAACAGAGAAGCAUGUCUAUCAUGAAAAAUAAAAGACGGCAGUUCUGAAGUGACGACCAAGAUAGUUUAGAAGUGUAAUAUAGUUGUAAACAUGAAUGUAAACUAUGGAUGAAAAAUGUUAAUACAAUUCUGAUUCUGGACGACUCAUGCGAAUUUUAUCUGAAUUUGAAUAAUUUUUUAUCUGGGUGUACAAUUACAUUUGUGAUUUGUUGUUUAUGUGGUGAAAAAAUAAGAUGGCUUUAUACUUUAUACUUUUUAUGAGACUUAAUUUUGAGUUUUGAAUUUGAGUUCUCAUGCAA
Molecule: long non-coding RNA, 613 nt
Organism: Malus domestica (apple)
Lineage: Eukaryota; Viridiplantae; Streptophyta; Magnoliopsida; Rosales; Rosaceae
Source: RefSeq, a predicted model, not a curated record